Molecule: ribosomal RNA, 460 nt
Filed under: uncultured bacterium
Lineage: Bacteria
Description: partial 16S ribosomal RNA
Rfam family: Bacterial small subunit ribosomal RNA
Source: RNAcentral
CCUACGGGAGGCAGCAGUGAGGAAUAUUGGUCAAUGGCCGGAAGGCUGAACCAGCCAAGUCGCGUGAGGGAAUAAGGCCCUAUGGGUCGUAAACCUCUUGUGUCAGGGAGCAAAGGCGUCCACGAGGGGACGAAAGGAGAGUACCUGAAGAAAAAGCAUCGGCUAACUCCGUGUCAGCAGCCGCGGUAAUAGGGAGGAUGCGAGCGUUAUCCGGAGUUAGUGGGGUUAAAGGGUGCGUAGGCGGAGUGUCAAGUCAGCGGUAAAAUUUCGGGGCUCAACCCCGUCGUGCCGUUGAAACUGACACCCUUGAGUGAGUGAGAAGUAAGCGGAAUGCGUGGUGUAGCGGUGAAAUGCAUAGAUAUCACGCAGAACGCCGAUUGCGAAGGCAGCUUACCGGCGCUCAACUGACGCUGAGGCACGAAAGUGCGGGUAUCGAACAGGAUUAGAUACCCUAGUAGUC